GGAACAUGACAUUGAGACCCCCUAUGGGCUGCUGCACGUGGUCAUCCGGGGCUCACCCAAGGGGAAUCGCCCAGCCAUCCUGACAUACCAUGAUGUGGGCCUCAACCACAAGCUUUGCUUCAACACCUUCUUCAACUACGAGGACAUGCAGGAGAUCACAAAGCACUUUGUGGUGUGCCACGUGGAUGCUCCAGGCCAGCAGGCAGGAGCCUCACAGUUCCCUCAGGGGUACCAGUACCCAUCCAUGGACCAGCUGGCUGCCAUGUUACCCAGUGUGGUGCAGCAUUUUGGGUUCAAGUACGUGAUCGGGAUCGGUGUUGGGGCAGGAGCCUACGUGCUGGCCAAGUUUGCGGUGAGC
Molecule: long non-coding RNA, 358 nt
Organism: Antrostomus carolinensis (chuck-will's-widow)
Lineage: Eukaryota; Metazoa; Chordata; Aves; Caprimulgiformes; Caprimulgidae
Exons: 4
Source: RefSeq, a predicted model, not a curated record